This 700-nucleotide ribosomal RNA is filed under the name uncultured bacterium. RNAcentral describes it as "bacterial SSU rRNA". It matches the Rfam family "Bacterial small subunit ribosomal RNA", at positions 63 to 756 of the family's 1533-position model. The record is from RNAcentral.
CGAACGGCAGCACAGCCCGCAAGGGUGGGUGGCGAGUGGCGGACGGGUGAGGAAUACAUCGGAAUCUGCCCAGUUGUGGGGGAUAACCAGCCGAAAGGUUGGCUAAUACCGCAUACGACCGGAAGGUGAAAGCGGGGGACCGUAAGGCCUCGCGCGAUUGGAUGAGCCGAUGUCGGAUUAGCUAGUUGGUGGGGUAAAGGCCUACCAAGGCGACGAUCCGUAGCUGGUCUGAGAGGAUGAUCAGCCACACUGGAACUGAGACACGGUCCAGACUCCUACGGGAGGCAGCAGUGGGGAAUAUUGGACAAUGGGCGCAAGCCUGAUCCAGCAAUGCCGCGUGUGUGAAGAAGGCCUUCGGGUUGUAAAGCACUUUUGUCGGGAACGAAAAGCGGCGGGUUAACAACCUGACGUGCUGACGGUACCUGAGGAAUAAGCACCGGCUAACUUCGUGCCAGCAGCCGCGGUAAUACGAAGGGUGCAAGCGUUAAUCGGAAUUACUGGGCGUAAAGGGUGCGUAGACGGUUUGUUAAGUCGGAUGUGAAAGCCCCGGGCUCAACCUGGGAACUGCAUCCGAAACUGGCAGGCUAGAGUGCGAUAGAGGAUGGUGGAAUUCCCGGUGUGGCGGUGAAAUGCGUAGAGAUCGGGAGGAACAUCUGUGGCGAAGGCGGCCAUCUGGAUCAGCACUGACGUUGAGGCACGA